RNAcentral lists this ribosomal RNA (253 nucleotides) under uncultured prokaryote. RNAcentral's name for it is "partial 16S ribosomal RNA". It matches the Rfam family "Bacterial small subunit ribosomal RNA", at positions 525 to 777 of the family's 1533-position model. The record is from RNAcentral.
ACGGAGGGGGCUAGCGUUGUUCGGAAUUACUGGGCGUAAAGCGCACGUAGGCGGCUUUGUAAGUUAGAGGUGAAAGCCCGGAGCUCAACUCCGGAACUGCCUUUAAGACUGCAUCGCUAGAACGUUGGAGAGGUAAGUGGAAUUCCGAGUGUAGAGGUGAAAUUCGUAGAUAUUCGGAAGAACACCAGUGGCGAAGGCGGCUCACUGGUCCGGUACUGACGCUGAGGUGCGAAAGCGUGGGGAGCAAACAGGA